ACGUCUCCAUUUUAAAUCAAGUUUUUAUUUAAGCCAUUUUAAACGAGCGUGGACCUCGAACGAACACGAACGCAUGCGUCUGAAUCAAGAAAACAAGAAACCAAGUUAACAUAGCUGGAUUGCAAUCGCAGUCGCAAUCGCAUUUCGCCCUCGGCCCAGGCGAUUGUCCUAUUUUAUUAUGAUUUAUUCGAGUCGAGAAGAAGCUUUCCUUUUGCCAUAUGUAUUCCACCAAAUCAACCACAAAAAAUAUAUAAAUCAAGCAAACAAAACCGAAAAAUAACUGAAUGAUUUGUGCUACAGAAACUAUUUUUAUGUAUAAAUACAAAAUAAUUAUAUUAAAUAUAUUGUGUAACAUUAUAUAUAAAUAUAUACAAAAAAAAAAAAAACAAAA
Molecule: long non-coding RNA, 391 nt
Organism: Drosophila gunungcola (fruit fly)
Lineage: Eukaryota; Metazoa; Arthropoda; Insecta; Diptera; Drosophilidae
Exons: 2
Source: RefSeq, a predicted model, not a curated record